RNAcentral lists this ribosomal RNA (497 nucleotides) under uncultured bacterium. RNAcentral's name for it is "partial 16S ribosomal RNA". It matches the Rfam family "Bacterial small subunit ribosomal RNA", at positions 28 to 507 of the family's 1533-position model. The record is from RNAcentral.
GAUGAACGCUGGCGGCGUGCCUAAUACAUGCAAGUCGAGCGAACAGACGAGGAGCUUGCUCCUCUGACGUUAGCGGCGGACGGGUGAGUAACACGUGGAUAACCUACCUAUAAGACUGGGAUAACUUCGGGAAACCGGAGCUAAUACCGGAUAAUAUAUUGAACCGCAUGGUUCAAUAGUGAAAGACGGUUUUGCUGUCACUUAUAGAUGGAUCCGCGCCGCAUUAGCUAGUUGGUAAGGUAACGGCUUACCAAGGCAACGAUGCGUAGCCGACCUGAGAGGGGGAUCGGCCACACGGGAACGUAGACACGGUCCAGACUACUACGGGAGGCAGCAGUAGGGAAUCUUCCGCAAUGGGCGAAAGCCUGACGGAGCAACGCCGCGUGAGUGAUGAAGGUCUUCGGAUCGUAAAACUCUGUUAUUAGGGAAGAACAAAUGUGUAAGUAACUAUGCACGUCUUGACGGUACCUAAUCAGAAAGCCACGGCUAACUACGUG